Molecule: long non-coding RNA, 465 nt
Filed under: Equus asinus (donkey)
Lineage: Eukaryota; Metazoa; Chordata; Mammalia; Perissodactyla; Equidae
Description: lncRNA (ENSEASG00005025011.1)
Source: RNAcentral
AGUGGUAGCAUUCUGCUCCACUAAGCCCAGAUCAGUCUCCAGGAGGCGAGGCCUAGGUAGUGUUGGGUGGAGUGCAUGGCCAGGACGGGGUCAUGAAGAGUGAUGAUGAGGUCAUUCUUCCCCUUCUCCUUUUUUUUCUUCCUUUCACAUUCACUCCACCGUUGCAUUUUCUUUACUCUCUGUUUCUUUUCCCCCCAUAUCCUGAGUGGCUGCCCGAUGACCAUUCCUUCAGAGAUGGCCAGGUGACCUCUUGGUCUUGCAAUACUGCUAUCAAGCUAGGCCUCCUGAAGAGGUUUACCUGAGCCGAUGAGAAAUUCUUAUUCGGGAACUUCCGUGACAUACAACUUAGACACCCAGGGUUCCUGCUGCUGCUCCAUGCUGAUCCCGGUGUUCUCCAGGUGGAUGUGCAGCACCUGGGAAACUCCCGUGUCCCCACUGGAAAUGCUCUGGGACUGAGUCAGGGAG